CAGGGAGACAACAAAAUGUUUAAUAUUAUUAUUUUGUCACCUUAGGUCGAUCGGUAUCUCACGUUUUUAAUUUAUUAAGAAUUUCAUUUCCUAAGUUUUUCUAGGUCACACCCAUUAUUUUUCCUGGGCCAUUAGCUCAGGUGGUUAGAGCGCACCCCUGAUAAGGGUGAGGUCCCUGGUUCAAGUCCAGGAUGGCCCAUAUCUCUAUGUUGGGGGUAUAGCUCAGUUGGUAGAGCGCCUGCUUUGCAAGCAGGAUGUCAGCGGUUCGAGUCCGCUUACCUCCACUGAUUACCACCUCUUCCAUAAUCUGUAGAAAGGAAAUGUAUUGAGUUGUGAUCAAAUCCUGAACGAAUCUAGCUUCCUAAUGAAAUCAUUAAGAUGCUGGACUCAUUGAAUUAAUUUCAUUGUUUUCAGAGAACCUUGACAACUGCAUAGAUUAUUUUUUAAAGACAAUAAGCAUCUUUAAUGAUGCAGAUUUAUUAUUUGUGCGAAUGCAUUAAUAACAAUUCUAUUAAGCUGAUGCUUCAAUUUUGAAGUUAUU
This 541-nucleotide transfer RNA is filed under the name uncultured Prochlorococcus sp. RNAcentral's name for it is "partial 16S-23S ribosomal RNA intergenic spacer". The stretch from base 212 to 284 matches the Rfam family "tRNA". The record is from RNAcentral. Lineage: Bacteria; Bacillati; Cyanobacteriota; Cyanophyceae; Synechococcales; Prochlorococcaceae.